UAGGGAAUAUUGCGCAAUGGGGGAAACCCUGACGCAGCGACGCCGCGUGAGUGAUGAAGGCCUUCGGGUCGUAAAGCUCUGUCGUAAGGGAAUAAUAAACUGAAGGUACCUUACAAGAAAGGACCGGCUAACUUCGUGCCAGCAGCCGCGGUAAGACGAGGGGUCCUAGCGUUGUCCGGAAUUAUUGGGCGUAAAGCGGGUGUAGGCUGUUUACUAAGUCAGAUGUGAAAUACCUAGGCUUAACCUGGGAAGUGCAUUUGAUACUAUUAAACUUGAGUGUCAGAGAGGGCAGUGGAAUUCCUGGUGUAGUGGUGAAAUACGUAGAUAUCAGGAGGAACAUCGGUGGCGAAGGCGGCUGCCUGGCUGAACACUGACGCUGAGAUCCGAAAGCGUGGGGAGC
RNAcentral lists this ribosomal RNA (400 nucleotides) under uncultured bacterium. Its description in RNAcentral is "bacterial SSU rRNA". It matches the Rfam family "Bacterial small subunit ribosomal RNA", at positions 355 to 769 of the family's 1533-position model. The record is from RNAcentral.